GGGCCUAUAGCUCAGCUGGUUAGAGCGCACGCCUGAUAAGCGUGAGGUCGGUGGUUCGAGGUCCACUUAGGCCCACCA
RNAcentral lists this transfer RNA (78 nucleotides) under Staphylococcus aureus. RNAcentral describes it as "tRNA-Ile(gat)". It matches the Rfam family "tRNA". Rfam says of the family: Transfer RNA (tRNA) molecules are approximately 80 nucleotides in length. Their secondary structure includes four short double-helical elements and three loops (D, anti-codon, and T loops). The record is from RNAcentral. Lineage: Bacteria; Bacillati; Bacillota; Bacilli; Caryophanales; Staphylococcaceae.